This is a long non-coding RNA of Taeniopygia guttata (zebra finch), 1580 nucleotides long. NCBI's taxonomy places the organism in Eukaryota, Metazoa, Chordata, Aves, Passeriformes, Estrildidae. The record is from Ensembl.
GGAACCAAUCAGCGAGAGGGGCGGGAAAGUGGCAGCCAAUCAGCGCAGAGCGCGGGAAGAAUGGCGGCGGCCGAGGCGGCGGCGGCGGCGACCCUGGAGCGGCUGGAGGUGGGGGAGGGGCCCGGAGGGGCCGUGAGGGGCCGUGAGGGGCCCCGGGACCGAGCCCGGGACCGAGCCCGGAACAUUUGGGGGGGCUCAGAACGGGCCGGGCCCCUCCCGGAGGUCCCUCAGGGCCUCCCCGUCCCGCCCCCGUUCCCCUGAGGGGCCCCGAGCUCCGCCCCCCCUCGUGAGGGGAGGCCCCGCCCCCUCAGUGUGGCCACGCCCCCUAAAUUUGCCCCUCAUGGCCCCCCCGGGGCAAAUCCCCGACCCCCCCAACCCCAAAACCUCACCCAGAGCCCCCCAAAAUGGAUCCCUGACCCUCCCCCCCCCAAAUUUCCCCCUCAUGGCCCCCCCCGGGGCAAAUCCCAGACCCCCAAACCCCAAAACCCCACCCAGAGCCUUCGGUGCCCCCCAAAAUGGAUCCCUGACCCCCCCCCCCCAAAUUUCCCCCUCAUGGCCCCCCCGGGGCAAAUCCCGACCCCCCCCACCCCAAAACUCCCCCCAGAGCCUUCGGUGCCCCCCCCCAAAAUGAAUCCCUGACCCCUCCCCCACUUCAGCCUUUGUGACCCCCCCCAUUUUUACCCCCCAAUAUUUCUGACCCCCCUUCCCCAAUUUUUGCCCCCCCCCCCAGGCUCUCUCGUGCCCCCCGGUUUUGGGGGGCCCCCCCCGCGCCCCCCCCGCGGCGCUGGAGCUGCUCUGCCGCCCCUCCCCCCCCCGGCGGGCCCUGCUGCGCUGGGCCUGCACCCGGGUUUAUCCCCCCCUCAGCGCCGAGCUGGAGUCACUCCCUGAGGAGGAUGAAAUGAGGGCGCUGGCCAGGCUGGGAGCGCAGCUGAUGCUCUGCAGGGCCGACGACCUCGCCCUGGUGGAGGGCACAGCCCCCCCCGAGCAGCAGCUCCAGUUCCUCCAGGACCUUCUGGACGCCGUCCCCCCCCUUGAGACCCCCCCCAAAACCAGGCCCCCCCAAACCACCCAGUUCCUGCUGAAGCUGCUGGAGACCCCCGAGGGGGGGGCGGCCCUGAGACCCCCGCCCCCCCCCCAGUUCCUGUGGAGCUCUCCGAGACCCCCCCUCGACCCAGGUGGGUUUUGGGGACCCCCCCGGGCUCCCCUCACCCCAAAAUCCUCACCUGACCCCCCCCUCAUUUUGCUGCCCCCCCAGGAGACCCCUCCCCGAAUUGGAGGCGGAAUUGGGGGGGGUCCGGCGGGGCCUGGAGGAGCUGCAGGCCCAGCUGUCAAAUUUAGGGGGGUCCCCGGCCCCCUCCCCCCCAAAUUUGGGGGUCCUGGUGGGGACUCUGACCUCGUUGGCUGCAGAUUUUGGGGCCUCUGAGCUCCGGGGCCCCCUGGCACCCCCCAGGACCCCCCAAAUUUGGGGGGAAGGGGGCCGGGUCCCCCCUGUGGGGAGGGGGCUGCGGAAUCUCGGCCAGGUGAGGGGGGAAAUUUUGGGAGGAAUUUGGGGAGGGGGUUUGGAUUUGGGGGAUUUUUGA